GAAUGGGCAGAUGUUGAUGAUCACUUGGUAUUGAUUGGUGCAGAUACUGAGUGUUCAAGUACUUAAGGGUCAUGUCACUGGUUAAAUUGUCUCUUUGGAGUAGAGUGCACAAUUAUUAAACCAACUUUUAUGCCUCCCCCUCCACACAUAUACAUACUGGCUUAUUUUCUAGUUAAAAAUCAAAGUUGCUCAGAUUCCACUUUGAUGUCAGUGCAGAUGUGCAUUGCAUCAUGCUGUUAUAUUUUCUCUCAUUUUGAUGCUGUUGGGCCUUAGUUUUAUAUUGGUUUAAAGAACUCAACAAUAGUUUAUUUUCUGUUCAUACUUAAGAGCCUAGGAAACAUGACCAUUGAUCAUCAUUUAAUCAACUUUUAAUGUUCUACUGAAAUAAAUAUGGUAACCUUUCAGUAGCAGAUCAUUUACAGUAGUCAUUUCCAGAAGACACUUACACAGAAUUGCACUUCCAAAUCAAAUCAUCUGAUCAUAGUUAUUCCCGUGAAAGGUAGAAUGUUUGUUUGAAAAUUAAUCUAGUUUUCUGUACAUUUAAAAUUUGAUUGCAAAGGUGACAGCUGGCUCUUAUCCAGUCUUCCUUCAUAUCAGUUUUCUGAUAGACCACUAUUGGCAAACAGUAAUCUGUCAACUACCAAAUGUGUAAAAUUUUCUGUAUUUCACUUUGUCUUAUUUGUAAAUAGUGAACUAAAACUUCUGGCAGAUCAGCAACAUUUGCUGAGCCUGUUUUUUAAGCUAAUAUGUAUUCUUACUAAUGUUCCUAUCAAGAAUGGAUUUGUAAUAUAUGCUGUCUAUUUCUAAUGUUCACAUUCAUAUUUUGAGGUUCUAUCUUAUUUUAAUAGAGAACAGACUUCUCAGAAAAUCUUCAGAAGCAGCUUAUUAUUAAAAUAUCAAAAUAUUGAAAUAAACCCGGUGGGGUUAGAGUACUCAUCCGUCCACCAAGUGGGACAUUUGCAUGGACUGGGGGCUUAAAGGACGUAAAAGAGACCUGUAAGUAUAUCCUGAAAAUGAGCCAAUCAAUCCCCACUUGAAUGGUUACUGGAGUAAACCCACCUUUACUACUCUGAUUUUAGCACCUGAGGCAGAUAAACCACCUUGGCUCUGUUUCAUUUUUCUUCUCUUCAUUUGUGAUGCUCAGAUCCAAGAUGCGUGUUCUAGACUGUGUACAGGCUUCUCUUUUUUGAGUUAAAAAUUUUAGUCCUACUUUUGUAUGGACAUGUUAGAAUGUAAAGUGACCAAAAUAGAAGACUUGCCAUUAGAUAUUUUUCAGACAUCAGCAGAUUUGUGGCAAAUCAUUUGCCUUUUUAAAAAUUCAGCUUGAACAGUUCAGACAGUAGACUACUCAGAAAAAAUUAUUUGACAUAAUUGUCUAAGAGGUAAAUAUUUUUUAGUGCGUACUGAAUCAAAUAAAGUGCUCUAAAGAAGUUAUUAUACAAAUUUCUUUGGGUUGUUUUUCUUUUCUUAACAAGUGGUGGGGGUAAAAAUGAAUAUGAUUCAAGCCUUCUGAUGGUAUAUUGGUUUUAUUAUUGCUACUGACUUCAUUCUGUGGCUUUCUUUUAGCUUCUUUUUCAGUUUCGUUAUAAGUUAAACUUCAAAACAUAUACCAAACUUUUAUCAUUUUACUCAAAUUUUAAGUUCUUUAAGAACAGGUUUCUUAUAAAAAGGAGAAAAUUGUUUUAAAACGCCUUUAUCUGUGUGCAUUUUCCUCUUUUCCACAACAUUCAUGAUUUCAUUUUAUCAGGAGACUUACCGAAGGGCACAUUUUUGGAAAGUGAUGAGUAACAGUAUAACUUCAUUUUGCCAAGCCACUGAGUUCUAAUAUUUUAUGCUUGCUCUUCAUAUGAAUACUUUUCACGAGUCUUAGAUAAUAGGUUCUACCAACGGGGGCAGAAACAAAAAUUUUAAGUAAAUAUUUAUUUCUUGAUAUUUGGGGCCUUAAAAAGUAGUGUGUUUCAUUCAAAACAUUUCCAUGUUAGAUGGCGUUUUUGUUUUCUUUUAAUUUAAGAUUAGUUCUUUAAAAAGCUACUUAUUGCCAGCAUUUAACAGGCUUCAUUUCUCUUAACAGAAGGUAGUUCAUAUGGCUGAGGAAUUACUAUUAAAUUAUAUAGCUAGCAACAAACCACGUUUAAGUGAAGGUAUUCACUUUAGAUUUCAUUAAAGCUUUUUUCUUGCACAUUUAUCAUUGUGUUUCUAAGCUGAUUUGUUCAGCACUAAUAUGACUGUAAAAAAAUAUAAAAAUUUAAAUUGGUAUUCAGAUAUCUUACAUGUUUUCCUACUCAUUUAUGUUUUAAAAAGACAAACAUUGAAUAUUGAUCCCUGAAGGUGUUUGUUUUGAUACUCCCUUACAUUUGUGUUCUUUGUUAAAAGGCAGUAUUUUUGAUUUGUAGAUGUUAAAUGUUUCCUUAAAAGCUUGCAAACUUUCACCACACUUCAUUUUUCAUUUUCACUAAGAACAAAGUGUUCCUCAGUCUGUUCCUCUGGCUUAAAUUUGUCUUUUUGUAGCACUGAGUGAAGGAAUUGCUUUGCAAGGUGAAGUAUGUAUGUGUUUCAAAGUAUGGUUAAAUUGUAGGUCAUGCGCUAUAUUGAAACAUCAAAUCAUUACCACAGAGAAAGGUUAAGGCAUUGAAUCCACUGUUGAAAUUAUUCUUUUUGGAAUCAACAAGGUACUUUCUGACUUCUAUUCUUAUAUAAGGGAAUUUUAAAUAAAUUUUAAAGUUAGUUAAUUCUAAUUUUUUGUUAUAACACUUUGAGAUUUUUAGUUAAUCCAAAGAAAUAAUGCUUUUAAAUAGAAGCAAAAGGUUUAUGGUGUGCAAAUUACAGAUUUACCAAUUACCUCAGCAGGUAUCCUGCCAUGUAACUAUUAGUGAUUAGUUUUAAUAAGCCAGUAGACUUAGGUUUUCUGACUAUGCUCCUGGGUUGUGGCCUACCAUACGUUAUUAAACAGUCUCUUAGUAGUCAAAAUGGGAGUAAAUGCUGUGGCCCCCUCUUGGCCUUUUAAAGUCCUUUACCCAUGCUCACUCACAUACAACACAUGAAGUAUAAAAAUCUCAUUUCUUGAGGUCAGCACUGCUUAUUUGCAUACUUAACUUUGGAUCAGUGAGUAGUUUUAUAAAAUCCAACCUCCCCAACUUCCCUAAUUAAAGCAAUCAAGUUCUUAAUUCAUACCAUGAAUUCUUAUACCAUCUAUAUUAAUAAUCUGCUGGAGGUGAUCCAAGGUUUAGUGUAUUGCAGCUUGAUCAUAUACCAGACCUGGAUGUUUUAUUUCUCUCACAGUUAUCUCCUCCUUGAUAAAGCAAUAACACUGCUUUAAGUCUGUUGCCUAAUAGCAUGUCAUAAUCCUCUCCUGGAUGGUGAUUUUAUAGGAAAGUUUGUAUGCAUAUCACCCAGUCUAUCUUUUAAAAAUUAAGGAAUUUAAAUGUAUGCUGGAGCUAAUGACAAUAUAUUGUGGCAUUUUAUUUUAAAAAUUGGGGAAAGUUGCAUAUUUUUUUAAAAGUAGGCAUUUGAGUAAAAGAAUUGAAGGUACUUUUUUAAGAAAAAAAUUUAUAUGCCACAGUUUACAUAGACCUUUCAGAUUUCAACAUGUACUCUUGGAUAUAAUGGUUUGUUUUAUUUGGUCAAAAUGCAUGUAUAGCAUUUCUUCCAUUUAGUUCCUUGUGUUUGCCUUCGUGGUCUUUUAUAUAUUUUUUAUUGUAUCUGAGAAACAAAAUUAUCUUUGAAAAUAAGUCAAUUUGGAUAUAUUUGUUAUGAUCACACUACAAAAUGUACAAAAUUAAGUUUAGCCCUUUUCUAGAAAGCAAGUGAUCUUUAAAAUUAAAAAUGCUGUUCUUUUAAAUUCACCAAAUUUGUAUGUGGGAAGGCACUGAAAUGAUUUUGUAAGUGCCACUGCAGUACUCCCUUUCAAGUGUGGCCUAAAUUUCAAUCUUAAGAACGAAAUGCAUGUCUGCUCCUGGUCUGAAAAAUGUAGGUAUUAACUAUGUUUUAAAUCACAGUGAAACAUGUAUAUAAGCCUAUAACAAAAAGAUUUGUGCAAUCUGAAAGCCUGUUGAUUUUCUAUGUAGACAUACCUACACACGAAAGGGUUAAAUUCACAUCCCUACUAGUUCCUUGCUUCCAGUAUUUCAACUCUUCUCCCCUCAUUAUUAUUAAUAUUACAAUUACUAUUAUUUUUGCACAUAGUUAACUACCCGUCAAUAUGAUUCUGAAAGAAAAAGUGCUGUUUCUGUGGUAUUGUAUUCUCUAAAUCAUCAUAUUUAAUUUUUUAAACAAGGUUGCAGUUUCUAAUUGUUCCGUUCCUGUGUUUUUUGCUGGUGUGUAAUAAAAGCAAGAUUUUCUUUUCAUGGUUAUUUAAUACAUUAGCUACCUGUAAAUACUUCUUGUUAUAAUGCUCUGGAAUGUGUUGUAGAAGUUGUAUUAGAUUAGUUUAAAGCUUUGUUUGAAAGCCACAUUGUUUUGGUUAUUUCUAUUAAAUUAGAAAAUUG
This 4484-nucleotide long non-coding RNA is filed under the name Phocoena sinus (vaquita). Its description in RNAcentral is "lncRNA (ENSPSNG00000002020.1)". The record is from RNAcentral. Lineage: Eukaryota; Metazoa; Chordata; Mammalia; Artiodactyla; Phocoenidae.